GUCCGCUGAAAUCUAAUGGGCCUCUGCAGCAGGAAGAGGGCACUCUGGGUCCGGUGACCCACUCUGACGUAGGGCCGCUGGGGCAGGUCACAUUAAUUUCCCCCCAACAUUCUGUUGGGCCGCUGGAAACUGAUAGGCCUGUCUCGCCCCAGUGUCAGAGCUGCAGAAUGCAUCCAAAUGUCUACGGGACAUCACUUAAAGUUUAUAGUAGAAGAAGACAGCGUGUUUCAGUUGGACAGGUUGACGCGCCAGAGGACGUAUCUCCUUCCAAACAGCAGUUCUUUGAGAUGGUGUCCAAGAAAAUUGGUUGUUUACUUCCUACUCCAAAAGCUAAGAAGAGGAGAGAACCUGCCAUCCCUUCGCAGGGACUCCGUCGUAGUCGACGGGUGGCUGGUCUAGGCGCUGAGCACAUUCCACAGAUCCCCAGGG
RNAcentral lists this unclassified non-coding RNA (429 nucleotides) under Zea mays. Its description in RNAcentral is "misc RNA Zm00001eb160230". Lineage: Eukaryota; Viridiplantae; Streptophyta; Magnoliopsida; Poales; Poaceae. The record is from RNAcentral.